AGUGAACGCUGGCGGUAGGCCUAACACAUGCCAGUCGAACGGCAGCACAGUAAGAGCUUGCUCUUACGGGUGGCGAGUGGCGGACGGGUGAGGAAUACAUCGGAAUCUACUUUUUCGUGGGGGAUAACGUAGGGAAACUUACGCUAAUACCGCAUACGACCUACGGGUGAAAGCAGGGGAUCUUCGGACCUUGCGCGAUUGAAUGAGCCGAUGUCGGAUUAGCUAGUUGGCGGGGUAAAGGCCCACCAAGGCGACGAUCCGUAGCUGGUCUGAGAGGAUGAUCAGCCACACUGGAACUGAGAAACGGUCCAGACUCCUACGGGAGGCAGCAGUGGGGAAUAUUGGACAAGGGGCGCAAGCCUGAACCAGCCAUACCGCGGGGGUGAAGAAGGCCUUCGGGUUGUAAAGCCCUUUUGUUGGGAAAGAAAAGCAGCAGGUUAAUACCCCGCUGUUCUGACGGUACCCAAAGAAUAAGCACCGGCUAACUUCGU
Molecule: ribosomal RNA, 491 nt
Filed under: uncultured bacterium
Lineage: Bacteria
Description: partial 16S ribosomal RNA
Rfam family: Bacterial small subunit ribosomal RNA
Source: RNAcentral